GAUGAACGCUGGCGGCGUGCCUAAUACAUGCAAGUCGAACGAAACUUCUUUAUCACCGAGUGCUUGCACUCACCGAUAAAGAGUUGAGUGGCGAACGGGUGAGUAACACGUGGGCAACCUGCCCAAAAGAGGGGGAUAACACUGGGAAACAGGUGCUAAUACCGCAUAACCAUAGUUACCGCAUGGUAACUAUGUAAAAGGUGGCUAUACUACCGCUUUUGGAUGGGCCCGCGGCGCAUUAGCUAGUUGGUAGGGUAAAGGCUUACCAAGGCAAUGAUGCGUAGCCGAAUUGAGAGGUUGAUCGGCCACAUUGGGACUGAGACACGGCCCAAACUCCUACGGGAGGCAGCAGUAGGGAAUCUUCCACAAUGGGCGAAAGCCUGAUGGAGCAACGCCGCGUGGGUGAAGAAGGUCUUCGGAUCGUAAAACCCUGUUGUUAGAGAAGAAAGUGCGUGAGAGUAACUGUUCACGUUUCGACGGUAUCUAACCAGAAAGCCACUGCUAACUACGUG
Molecule: ribosomal RNA, 512 nt
Filed under: uncultured bacterium
Lineage: Bacteria
Description: partial 16S ribosomal RNA
Rfam family: Bacterial small subunit ribosomal RNA
Source: RNAcentral